UACAGGGGGGGCAAGCGUUGUUCGGAAUUACUGGGCGUAAAGGGUCAGUAGGCGGCCAACUAAGUCCGACGUGAAAUCCCAAAGCUUAACUUUGGAACUGCGUCGGAUACUGGAUGGCUUGAAUUCGGGAGAGGGAUGCAGAAUUCCAGGUGUAGCGGUGAAAUGCGUAGAUAUCUGGAGGAAUACCGGUGGCGAAGGCGGCGACCUGGGUAGAUACUGACGCUGAGGUGCGAAAGCGUGGGGAGCAAACAGG
This 253-nucleotide ribosomal RNA is filed under the name uncultured bacterium. Its description in RNAcentral is "partial 16S ribosomal RNA". It matches the Rfam family "Bacterial small subunit ribosomal RNA", at positions 524 to 776 of the family's 1533-position model. The record is from RNAcentral.